Molecule: ribosomal RNA, 446 nt
Filed under: uncultured bacterium
Lineage: Bacteria
Description: partial 16S ribosomal RNA
Rfam family: Bacterial small subunit ribosomal RNA
Source: RNAcentral
CCUACGGGGGGCAGCAGUCGAGAAUCAUUCACAAUGGGGGAAACCCUGAUGGUGCGACGCCGCGUGGGGGAAUGAAGGUCUUCGGAUUGUAAACCCCUGUCAUGUGGGAGCAAAUUAAAAAGAUAGUACCACAAGAGGAAGAGACGGCUAACUCUGUGCCAGCAGCCGCGGUAAUACAGAGGUCGCAAGCGUUGUUCGGAAUCACUGGGCGUAAGGCGUGCGUAGGCUGUUUCGUAAGUCGUGUGUGAAAGGCGCGGGCUCAACCCGCGGACGGCACAUGAUACUGCGAGACUAGAGUAAUGGAGGGGGAACCGGAAUUCUCGGUGUAGCAGUGAAAUGCGUAGAUAUCGAGAGGAACACUCGUGGCGAAGGCGGGUUCCUGGACAUUAACUGACGCUGAGGCACGAAGGCCAGGGGAGCGAAAGGGAUUAGAUACCCGUGUAGUC